Molecule: ribosomal RNA, 303 nt
Filed under: uncultured bacterium
Lineage: Bacteria
Description: partial 16S ribosomal RNA
Rfam family: Bacterial small subunit ribosomal RNA
Source: RNAcentral
AGCAGUCGCCACGGUAAUACGUAGGUGGCAAGCGUUGUCCGGAAUUAUUGGGCGUAAAGCGCGCGCAGGCGGUUUCUUAAGUCUGAUGUGAAAGCCCCCGGCUUAACCGGGGAGGGUCAUUGGAAACUGGGAGACUUGGAGUGCAGAAGAGGAGAGUGGAAUUCCAUGUGUAGCGGUGAAAUGCGUAGAUAUAUGGAGGAACACCGGUGGCGAAAGCGGCUCUCUGGCUUGUAACUGACGCUGAGGCUCGAAAGCGCGGGGAGCAAACAGGAUUAGAUACCCCCGUAGUCCCUGUCUCUUAUU